Molecule: ribosomal RNA, 440 nt
Filed under: uncultured bacterium
Lineage: Bacteria
Description: partial 16S ribosomal RNA
Rfam family: Bacterial small subunit ribosomal RNA
Source: RNAcentral
CCUACGGGAGGCAGCAGUGGGGAAUAUUGCACAAUGGGGGAAACCCUGAUGCAGCGACGCCGCGUGCGUGAUGAAGUAUUUCGGUAUGUAAAGCUCUAUCAGUAGGGAAGAUAAUGACGGUACCUGACUAAGAAGCUCCGGCUAAAUACGUGCCAGCAGCCGCGGUAAUACGUAUGGAGCCAGCGUUAUCCGGAUUUACUGGGUGUAAAGGGAGCGCAGACGGCAUGUCAAGUCUGAUGUGAACUUCCGGGGCUCAACCCCGGGACUGCGUUGGAAACUGGCCUGCUAGAGUGCAGGGAAGGUAAGUGGAAUUCCUGGGGUAGCGGUGAAAUGCGUAGAUAUUAGGAGGAACACCAGUGGCGAAGGCGGCUUACGGGACUGUAACUGACGUUGAGGCUCGAAAGCGUGGGGAGCAAACAGGAUUAGAUACCCGGGUAGUC